GUGUUGCUUCGGUAGCACAUAUACUAAAAUUUGAACGAUACAGAGAAGAUUAGCAUAGC
Molecule: small nuclear RNA, 59 nt
Filed under: Monopterus albus (swamp eel)
Lineage: Eukaryota; Metazoa; Chordata; Actinopteri; Synbranchiformes; Synbranchidae
Source: RNAcentral